GGAACUGCCUGCCAUAUUCUGAUAGUUCCAUCCUCUGAUCCUGAUGCAUAAGACUCUCCACCAGGGGCAAAACGAACACAGUGGACGGGACCAUGGUGGCCUUUGUUACAAGCAAUUUCUUCACCGGUGUGGAAAUCAAAAGAGCGAAUCCACAUGUCUUCUCCACCAGCAAUGAAUUUGUUGCCAUACUUGGGUUCGAGAGAAGCAGACUCCACA
RNAcentral lists this unclassified non-coding RNA (216 nucleotides) under Hevea brasiliensis (rubber tree). Lineage: Eukaryota; Viridiplantae; Streptophyta; Magnoliopsida; Malpighiales; Euphorbiaceae. The record is from RNAcentral.